RNAcentral lists this transfer RNA (68 nucleotides) under Marmota monax (woodchuck). Its description in RNAcentral is "tRNA.Gly". The stretch from base 9 to 66 matches the Rfam family "tRNA", at positions 8 to 63 of the family's 71-position model. From Rfam's summary of the family: Transfer RNA (tRNA) molecules are approximately 80 nucleotides in length. Their secondary structure includes four short double-helical elements and three loops (D, anti-codon, and T loops). Further hydrogen bonds mediate the characteristic L-shaped molecular structure. tRNAs have two regions of fundamental functional importance: the anti-codon, which is responsible for specific mRNA codon recognition, and the 3' end, to which the tRNAs corresponding amino acid is attached (by aminoacyl-tRNA synthetases). tRNAs cope with the degeneracy of the genetic code in two manners: having more than one tRNA (with a specific anti-codon) for a particular amino acid; and 'wobble' base-pairing, i.e. permitting non-standard base-pairing at the 3rd anti-codon position. The record is from RNAcentral. Lineage: Eukaryota; Metazoa; Chordata; Mammalia; Rodentia; Sciuridae.
GAAAAACAUAGCUCAGUUGGUAGAGUGCUUGCCUCCCAUGCACAAGGCCCUGGGUUCAAUCCCCAGCA